UACGGAGGAUCCAAGCGUUAUCCGGAUUUAUUGGGUUUAAAGGGUGCGUAGGCGGCCUAUUAAGUCAGUGGUGAAAGACGGUGGCUCAACCAUCGCAGUGCCUUUGAUACUGAUAGGCUUGAAUGAACUUGAGGUAGGCGGAAUGUGACAAGUAGCGGUGAAAUGCAUAGAUAUGUCACAGAACACCAAUUGCGAAGGCAGCUUACUAAGGUUUAAUUGACGCUGAGGCACGAAAGCGUGGGGAUCAAACAGG
Molecule: ribosomal RNA, 253 nt
Filed under: uncultured bacterium
Lineage: Bacteria
Description: partial 16S ribosomal RNA
Rfam family: Bacterial small subunit ribosomal RNA
Source: RNAcentral